GAGGGAGGGGGUCUUGCCUCAUUUCUGUCAGGUGGGGGUGAAAGUCCAGGUGCCAUUGGCCCUUGAGGAGGCGGGGCUCCUUGUUAGUGCCAGGUGGGUGGGAGUGGGAAUCCGUGCUCCCACUAGGCCUCUAUUGGUAGCACCCAGGCUGGGAGAGAGGCAUCUUGCUAGUGUUCCUCAAGUAAUCUUCACUGCCAACAAGGAGGGGAGGGAGCGGACGGCAAUUGAGACAUCUGACUUCCCCUUGACUUCCUCUAACACUGGCAGAUGUUCAGACGUGUCCAGAGUUUCUUCCUUCUGAUGGGUUCGUCAUCUCGCUGACUUCAGGAGUAAAGCCGCAGACCUUCGCAGUGAACAUUACAGCUCUUAAAAGUGGCGUGUCCAGAGUUAUUUGUUCCUCCUGGUGGGUUCGUGGUCUCGCUGACUUCAGGAGUGAAGCCACAGACCUCCGCGGCAUUUUGGGAGUCCCUGCUGUGUGCUGGGAAUCAUAUUAGAUACCAGAGAUGAGUACAAGAUACAGUUCCUACAGUUCCUGCAAUUUAGGAGCUUGACAUGGAGACAUCCCCAUCCCAAUCCAUGGCCCCUCUUCAGAUGUUCAGAUUUCUGGCCACACGACAUUCUAUUCAAUGACCAUGCAGCCUGGUGUCACUCGCUGCCCCUGCUCUGCACCCGCCUGCCACCAGAUAUCAGGUCUGUGUCACUCAACGUGUGAUCACAGAUGAGGAGUAUUGAUGCCACCUGGGAGCUUUCAGAGAUGCAGAGUCUUGGGCCCUGCUGCAGACCUACAAAAUCAGAAUCUGCAUUUUAACAACGUCCCCAGGAUGCACACUAAAGCUGAAGUAGCCUGGCUCCCGGAAGAGGGAGUGCCCGAGCAGUGCUGUGGAGGUAUGAGAAAGCUUGGUGUCUUAGAGGAAUGCCAAACAUUCCCACCUGGAGGGAGAAUCGGAAUGGCAGAAUGCAGUGAACCAUGGAAGGAAGGAGACAGGACGGGGAGCAGGGGCCUGGAGUGCAGCACUACAUGUUACCCUGAGGACUGUGGGGAAGCCGUGGAGGUGUCAGGCAGAGGAAUCACAUUUGCGUUUCGGAAAGAUGUCUCUAGGCGUGGGAAGAUGGCCUGGAGAAGGAUCAUUUGAGAUAAGAGACCCCAAGGCCCUAUCUCAGGGUUUCAAACCUCGGUGCUAUUGCCAUGUUGAGCCGAUAAUAAUUCAGUCUUUGCUGUGCGGGCUGCCCUGUGCACUGUGAGAUGCUGGGCAGCAUCUCUGGCCUGUGACCCCCAGAUGCCCGCCGCACAAAUCUGCCUCCAGACAUUGCCAAAUCUGCCUCCAGACACUGCCAAAUGUCCCCAGGGUGGGAGCAAGGGGCAAUAUUGCCACGAGUUGGGAAGCACUGAUGGGAAACAGGGCGGAGGAGGGUGAUGGUGUGAAGAAGGGGUGGUUAGAAGGGUGACUCCAGAGACUUAGUAGCUGACUAAGAUCAGGAUUGUGGACACACUGCAAAACAAGCAUCAGCAUAAGCUUCUACUAAGGUAGGAGACCACUCCUCAUAUUGUCUUAUGUCCAAUUUCUGCCUCCAAAGAAAGAAACAGUAAAACCUCGAAGGCAGAAAUGAAAUCCACAAGCAGACAGCUCGGCGCCACACCCUGGGCCUGGUAGUUAAAGAUUGACCCCUGACCUAAUCGGUUAUGUUAUCUAUAGAUUACAGACAUUAUAUAGAAAAACACUGUGAAAAUCCCUAUCCUGUUUUGUUCCAAUCUAAUUACCGGUGCAUGCAGCCCCCAGUCACGUACCCCCUGCUUGCUCAAUCAAUCACGACCCUCUCACGCGCAUCACUUUAGAGUUGUGAGCCCUUAAAAGGGACAGGAAUUGCUCACUCGGGGAGCUCGGCUCUUGAGACAGGAGUCUU
RNAcentral lists this long non-coding RNA (1902 nucleotides) under Homo sapiens (human). RNAcentral's name for it is "HSALNT0121245". Lineage: Eukaryota; Metazoa; Chordata; Mammalia; Primates; Hominidae. The record is from RNAcentral.